AUGGAGAUGAAACACAAAAGAUUUUCGUUGGGGCGUAACCCUCUCAGCGACGCGCCACAUCAGAACCCGGGUAUGGUGAAAAAUGGGCAAGGGCCGGGCCGUCACCCCCCAAGUGGCGCGUCGUAUCUUGAUCCGGAUACGGUGGCAAGUGAGCGAGGAUCGGGUCGUCGCAUCCUUAGUGGCGCGCUACAUCGGCGCCCGGAUGUAGUGGAAAAUGAGCAAGGGUCGUCGCAUUUGACUCGACGAGUGCGAAGGGUAAGGAAGCUAGCCGAGCCUAGGAGGAUUCGCUUAGGUAGCUGGAACGUAGGGUCUCUGACAGGGAAGCUUCGGGAGCUAGUUGAUGCAGCAGUGAGGAGAGGUGUUGAUAUCCUUUGCGUCCAAGAAACCAAAUGGAGAGGACAGAAGGCGAAGGAGGUGGAGGAUACCGGCUUCAAGCUGUGA
This 441-nucleotide ribosomal RNA is filed under the name Triticum aestivum (bread wheat). RNAcentral describes it as "partial small subunit ribosomal RNA". The record is from RNAcentral. Lineage: Eukaryota; Viridiplantae; Streptophyta; Magnoliopsida; Poales; Poaceae.